AGACCCGAAACCCGGUGAUCUAGCCAUGGGCAGGUUGAAGGUUGGGUAACACUAACUGGAGGACCGAACCGACUAAUGUUGAAAAAUUAGCGGAUGACCUGUGGCUGGGGGUGAAAGGCCAAUCAAACCGGGAGAUAGCUGGUUCUCCCCGAAAGCUAUUUAGGUAGCGCCUCGUGAAUUCAUCUCCGGGGGUAGAGCACUGUUUCGGCUAGGGGGCCAUCCCGGCUUACCAACCCGAUGCAAACUGCGAAUACCGGAGAAUGUUAUCACGGGAGACACACGGCGGGUGCUAACGUCCGUCGUGAAGAGGGAAACAACCCAGACCGCCAGCUAAGGUCCCAAAGUCAUGGUUAAGUGGGAAACGAUGUGGGAAGGCCCAGACAGCCAGGAUGUUGGCUUAGAAGCAGCCAUCAUUUAAAGAAAGCGUAAUAGCUCACUGGUCGAGUCGGCCUGCGCGGAAGAUGUAACGGGGCUAAACCAUGCACCGAAGCUGCGGCAGCGACACUCAGGUGUUGUUGGGUAGGGGAGCGUUCUGUAAGCCUGUGAAGGUGGCCUGUGAGGGUUGCUGGAG
This 571-nucleotide ribosomal RNA is filed under the name Salmonella enterica. Its description in RNAcentral is "partial 23S ribosomal RNA". It matches the Rfam family "Bacterial large subunit ribosomal RNA", at positions 711 to 1278 of the family's 2925-position model. RNAcentral also lists the same sequence under 2 other names. The record is from RNAcentral. Lineage: Bacteria; Pseudomonadati; Pseudomonadota; Gammaproteobacteria; Enterobacterales; Enterobacteriaceae.